UAAUUGACGAGUUUGAUCCUGGCUCAGAACGAACGCUGGCGGCGUGGCUAAGGCAUGCAAGUUGUACGGGCCGUUUAU
RNAcentral lists this ribosomal RNA (78 nucleotides) under Phycisphaerae bacterium. Its description in RNAcentral is "partial 16S ribosomal RNA". It matches the Rfam family "Bacterial small subunit ribosomal RNA", at positions 1 to 78 of the family's 1533-position model. Lineage: Bacteria; Pseudomonadati; Planctomycetota; Phycisphaerae. The record is from RNAcentral.